UAAGGGAAUCUUCGGCAAUGGACGAAAGUCUGACCGAGCAACGCCGCGUGAGUGAAGAAGGUUUUCGGAUCGUAAAACUCUGUUGUUAGAGAAGAACAAGGGUGAGAGUAACUGUUCACCCCUUGACGGUAUCUAACCAGAAAGCCACGGCUAACUACGUGCCAG
This 165-nucleotide ribosomal RNA is filed under the name uncultured bacterium. Its description in RNAcentral is "partial 16S rRNA". It matches the Rfam family "Bacterial small subunit ribosomal RNA", at positions 354 to 511 of the family's 1533-position model. The record is from RNAcentral.